Molecule: long non-coding RNA, 524 nt
Organism: Gorilla gorilla gorilla (western lowland gorilla)
Lineage: Eukaryota; Metazoa; Chordata; Mammalia; Primates; Hominidae
Exons: 3
Source: RefSeq, a predicted model, not a curated record
CGUUGGCUUCCACACAACAUGUUUUGGAUUUCAAGAGGAAAGAUUCCCAAAAGAACCAGCUGGAGGCUUUUAUGAUCUAGCCUAGAAGUCACAAGUGGUCACAUUCACCAUUCUAUGUAUCUGUGGCAAUCACAAAGACAUACUCAGGAUCCAGGAAACAGGAUAUUUAAUCACUGCUUCAUAGGGGCAAGAUUAAGUAAUAAUGUAAGAAGAGCAUGUAGGAAGGGAGAUGAAAGUUUUAGUCAUACUGGAGCAAAACACUUCUCAUUAAAUAUUGUGGGAACAGAGACUCAAGAGAGGUAAAGUAACCUGCCCAAGUAACAAAGCUUAGCAACUAGGAGAACUGAAUAUGUUUUUACUAGAUACAAGUGAAGUUGACUAUAAACUCAUUGAACCGUGCCAUUUCAGUACAGAGACGGGAACCAGUGUAAAGGAUUGAUUACACAGAUGGAGAAUAUCAAGUAAAAGGAAAAGAAGAAGAUGAUUAAGGAUCAAGGGAGUGUAAAAGAGAGAGAGAGGGGGGG